Molecule: ribosomal RNA, 465 nt
Filed under: uncultured bacterium
Lineage: Bacteria
Description: partial 16S ribosomal RNA
Rfam family: Bacterial small subunit ribosomal RNA
Source: RNAcentral
GACGAACGCUGGCGGCGUGCUUAACACAUGCAAGUCGAACGGAAAGGCCCUGCUUGCAGGGUACUCGAGUGGCGAACGGGUGAGUAACACGUGGGUGCUCCGCCCUGCACUUCGGGAUAAGCCUGGGCAACUGGGUCUAAUACCGGAUAGGAGCCAUUUUUAGUGUGAUGGUUGGAAAGUUUUUUCGGUGUAGGAUGAGCUCGCGGCCUAUCAGCUUGUUGGGGGGGUAAUGGCCUACCAAGGCGGCGACGGGUAGCCGGCCUGAGAGGGUGGACGGCCACAUUGGGACUGAGAGACGGCCCAGACUCCUACGGGAGGCAGCAGUGGGGAAUAUUGCACAAUGGGCGCAAGCCUGAUGCAGCGACGCCGCGUGGUGGAUGACGGCCUUCGGGUUGUAAACACCUUUCGCUAGGGACGAAGCUUUUUGUGACGGUACCUAGAGAAGAAGCACCGGCUAACUACGUG